This 1455-nucleotide long non-coding RNA is filed under the name Rattus norvegicus (Norway rat). Its description in RNAcentral is "long non-coding RNA NONRATT012003". The record is from RNAcentral. Lineage: Eukaryota; Metazoa; Chordata; Mammalia; Rodentia; Muridae.
GUCUUAGAACAUGUUAAUAACUCAGACUGUGUACAAAGUUUAGAUGCUGUUAGUAACUAGACCAUAACAAAAUUAUCUAUUAGAUUAAUAUUUUUCAGAGUUGAAAAUCUUGUCUUAUGUUGCCUCAUUAUAAAAAUUAAAAUAAGCUUUAUAUGUAUUUCUGUACAGACAAGUAGUAUUCUAAUUAAUUUAAAAUAAAAAACCAAACUCUUUCAAGUUAGGGUAAACAGAACUAAAUUUGUGUAGCAGAACAUUAAGAUUUUUAUGUCUAUAGACAAACAUACUUUUUGAGAUAAUUCAAAGCCAAAGCCUAAUAGUGGUUUUUGUGUUUUAAGAGAGAAGCAAGUCCAAGUGUUAGGAAGGUCUCCGUGAGUUGUUCAUCACCGAGUGAACCAACUUUUCAAAAGUGUGUUGCCUUCUGCGUCUCUCUGUCCUUCCCACCUCCCUCCCAUAUUAUAGCAGAGCCAGUUAACCAUGAACAUGUCAGUCUUGGAGCCUUUACUUGAAAAGGUAAUAGUGUGAAGGACUACUUGUUCAUUCCAAGUAUUUGCUUAACUUUUUAAGUACUUGUCUAUAAGACUCUAUAAGAACUUAUUUGGUAUUCCUUUUAAUUUUUCACUCACAGCUGGGUAGUAGUGACACACGCCUUUAAUCCCAGCACUUUAGAAGCAGAAGCUAGUUGGUCUCUGAGUUCAAGGCCAGCCUUAUCUAGGUGUUAACAUAAAGAAACUAUAUCUUGAAAACCAAAAUAAAUGAAAAAAUUCUUACUUACUCAAGCUUAAUAUAAAUGUCCAGUCAGUGAAUAACAAAUGAUGAUUUUUCUCUGAGGACUUUUAUUGUAUUGUUACUUAAUUUAAAUUAGGACUUUAUUUCUCAAAUUUCAUUAAAAUUAGACCAGUAAUUUAUAUAAUAUGUACUAAAAAAGUUAUGUAUUUUCCAGGCUCAAAACAAGAAACAUCAUUCUAAUCCUCAGGCCAGGCCUUCCAUAUUGCAGUGUGUUCUCCCUCCCUUUCCUGACUCCUCUCUUUGCAUGCAUACAGUGGAGGGCUGUAUUUAAUGUUAACUACGACCCCAGCACCCAUGGGCUUUAUCCACUAGCUUAUUUGACUUAUGUUCCACCUACUAUCUAUAUCUAGUUUGCUGUUUUCAUAUUUUAGUGGAUAAUUUAGUUCUAAAGUACGCAGAGAUUGAGAACAAUGUGUGUAGCGUGCUUCUUCUAGUAAGUAUCGCUCAGACGGAAGUUCAAGUUCUGUCUGUAUUAAUUUAUAAAUUAAAAUUUUGGUUAGUGAUAGAGAGAAAAAAAAAAGUCCCAAUAAGUAAGAUACAACUCUAUGUAGUUAGAGAUAAUGCUACCAUAAUAAAGUACCCAGACUGUGGGGGGACUCUGUAUUUUGUAACAUUCACUUUGGGUAAAUGCUUUUUCACUGUUAAUAAAUGUAUAUCCUAUAUAAACUC